RNAcentral lists this ribosomal RNA (253 nucleotides) under uncultured bacterium. Its description in RNAcentral is "partial 16S ribosomal RNA". It matches the Rfam family "Bacterial small subunit ribosomal RNA", at positions 524 to 776 of the family's 1533-position model. The record is from RNAcentral.
UACGAAGGGGGCUAGCGUUGUUCGGAAUUACUGGGCGUAAAGCGUGCGCAGGCGGUUGUGCAAGACCGAUGUGAAAUCCCCGGGCUUAACCUGGGAAUGGCAUUGGUGACUGCACGGCUAGAGUGUGUCAGAGGGGGGUAGAAUUCCACGUGUAGCAGUGAAAUGCGUAGAGAUGUGGAGGAAUACCGAUGGCGAAGGCAGCCCCCUGGGUCAAGAUUGACGCUCAUGCACGAAAGCGUGGGGAGCAAACAGG